GUCGCUACUACCGAUUGAAUGGCUCAGUGAGGCCUUCGGACUGGCUCAGGAGGGUUGGCAACGACCCCCCAGAGCCGGAAAGUUGGUCAAACUCGGUCAUUUAGAGGAAGUAAAAGUCGUAACAAGGUCUCC
RNAcentral lists this ribosomal RNA (132 nucleotides) under uncultured Aspergillus. RNAcentral's name for it is "partial small subunit ribosomal RNA". It matches the Rfam family "Eukaryotic small subunit ribosomal RNA", at positions 1675 to 1804 of the family's 1831-position model. Lineage: Eukaryota; Fungi; Ascomycota; Eurotiomycetes; Eurotiales; Aspergillaceae. The record is from RNAcentral.